CUCUUGGCGGCCAUGGCGGCGUGCAGGUUCUUGUCGUCUUCGCUUCUGUGGUUGACCUGGGACGCCGCGGAAGACCCUCCAUAGCUCUCGGCCUGUUGGCGGGAUGACUGCGUCUCGUACUGUCGGUUGUUAAAAAAUGUUGCUUGCUUUCCUGCCGGGGGCUCAGUCGCCCCAUGCAGCAGACUAACACUGUGCUAAGAGGAAGAGCAGUUCAAGAUGUGCCCGAGGGCCUCACUCCCCACCCCGGACCUCCGGCCCAGAAAUCUUUAGCAAGGAGACCAAACCAUGUGGACCCACUGGGAUUGGAAUAAAAUACAAAUCUGAUGCAGUCCCCCGCUGUGAUCUUGCCAAGAAUGUGUGCUGCGUGAUUGCUUUCCUUCUCUGGGGCGUUUGCCUUCUGGAAAUUGGGCUGAGAGGACCUGUCGGGGUCUGCGGAAAGCUGGCUGCUAGGCUCUGCUUGUGGUGUGAACUUCAUGUUGAAUGCCCAGCCGUGGCCCAGUUGAGAUCCAGAAGCCAGGAAGAAGAAAGCCUACCUCUUGGUCUCGUGGCUGAGCAGGACAGGGGCAGAUAUGAGCAUAGACCUACCUCAGUGUGGCCUCCGACCUCUCCAGGGACCUGCAGAGCCGCCCACAUCCUAAAUUACUGACCACAUUUGUGUUGGCUUGAACUGCUGCUUCAAGACUGGUGGAAUUAUUAGCUCUAUGCGGUUGGCAGUAGGGGUGGCCGGGCCCUCUAAGACUCAGCAUUUCCAUCUAACCAACUGCACAUUGCCCCCAAUGUGGGGGGGCGCUGUAGGUGCUGUGGCACAAAUAAACUUGUUACUUC
Molecule: RNA transcript, 825 nt
Organism: Microtus ochrogaster (prairie vole)
Lineage: Eukaryota; Metazoa; Chordata; Mammalia; Rodentia; Cricetidae
Source: RefSeq, a predicted model, not a curated record